Molecule: unclassified non-coding RNA, 168 nt
Filed under: uncultured fungus
Lineage: Eukaryota; Fungi
Description: sequence contains ITS1, 5.8S rRNA gene
Source: RNAcentral
CCGAGUCUCACGACUCCCAAACCAUCGCGAACCUACCAGUACGUUGCCUCGGCGGGCGGCUCCAGGGCGGAGCCAGCAGCCCCCCUCGCGGGGGUGCCCGCCGCAGGCCCAACCAACCAGUGUCGUAUCUAGGCCCCUCUGAGCAACUGCGAGAGCAGAAACAAGUCA